RNAcentral lists this ribosomal RNA (1144 nucleotides) under Aspergillus fumigatus. RNAcentral's name for it is "SSU rRNA". It matches the Rfam family "Bacterial small subunit ribosomal RNA", at positions 91 to 1359 of the family's 1533-position model. The record is from RNAcentral. Lineage: Eukaryota; Fungi; Ascomycota; Eurotiomycetes; Eurotiales; Aspergillaceae.
AGUAGUGGUGUACAGGUGAGUAAAAGAUAAUUUGGCUACCUUAAAGUAAGGGAAAAAAUCCCUUAUAAAAAUAAAGGAAAAUAAAAAGUCCGCUUUAAGAUGUUAAUCUUUAUCUCGGAAAGUAGUAGGAAAGGUAAUGACUUUUCUAGCUAAAAUCCGUAGUCGUGACUGAGAGGUCGAUCGACCACAUUGGGUCUGAAAAAACCCCAAUGCGUAUUAGUACAGCAGUGAGGAAUAUUGGUCAAUGGCCGAAAGGCUGAACCAGUAACUUGGAAGAAUGUAAGUGUAUUAUAGUAAUACAGUAACGAUUAACUCGUAUAAAAUUCUAAAUAGGAUAAUGAUAAUGACAAUUUCCUAUUUAUAAGUCUUGACCAAAUUACGUGCCAGCAGUCGCGGUAAUACGUAGAAGACUAGUGUUAGUCAUCUUUAUUAGGUUUAAAGGGUACCUAGACGGUAAAUUAAACUCUAAAUGAGUACUUUUUUACUAGAGUUUUAUGAGAGAAGGAAGAAUUUCUGGAGUAGUGAUGAAAUACUUUGAUACCAGAAGGACUGGUAACGGCGAAGGCAUCCUUCUAUGUAAAAACUGACGUUGAGGGACGAAGGCUUGGGUAGCAAUAAGGAUUAGAUACCCUAGUAGUCCAAGCAGAAAAUGAUGAAUGUCAUAGGCUAGAUAAUAUUUAGUCUAUAAAUGAAAGUGUAAGCAUUCCACCUCAAGAGUAAUAUGGCAACAUAUAAACUGAAAUCAUUAGACCGUUUCUGAAACCAGUAGUGAAGUAUGUUAUUUAAUUCGAUGAUCCGCGAAAAACCUUACCACAGUUUGAAUAACAUUAAAUUGUUACAAGCGCUGCACGGCUGUCUUUAGUUAAUGUCGUGAGAUUUGGUUAACUCCUCUAAUUAACGAAAACCCUCACUUUAUUUGUAUACAUAAAGUGGUUCGCCGCUACAUUGGACCAGAUAAUAGGGAUUAAGACAAGUCAUCAUGGCCUAAAUACUGUGGGCUAUAGACGUGCCACAUACGCCUUAACAAAGGGAUGCGAUAUUGUGAAAUGGAGCUAAUCCCCAAAGUUGGAUAUAAUAUGGAUUGUAGUCUGUAACUCGACUACAUGAAUAAGGAAUUACUAGUAAUCGUGAAUCACCAUCGUCA